Molecule: long non-coding RNA, 475 nt
Organism: Helianthus annuus (common sunflower)
Lineage: Eukaryota; Viridiplantae; Streptophyta; Magnoliopsida; Asterales; Asteraceae
Exons: 2
Source: RefSeq, a predicted model, not a curated record
CACACCCCAAUACAUGACUGUAAGUCAUUUCAUUCACCAUCAUAAGUUUUGUACUUCACCCCACCCUCUUACCAACUCCUUCAUCUUUCUCUCUCUAAAAAACAUCAAGAACACUUUUUUUCAAUUUUAUCAGAUUUGAACAAACUAUUUCUCAAAGACCUAGAUGUAGAUCUUAUACUCAUUCCUUUCUAUUGAAGCCACCAAAUCUGAGGAUCGAAGCAAUUAUCAAAGCUCUUCAAGAAAAGAAAGUAAGGUGUUGCUUCUGUUUUUAAAGAGAGAAACUGAUGUUUUGGAGAGAGAAACAACAAUAUUCAUCUUGUUCAUCUGGACACCAAGAACACACGCACAAAUGUGGUGAUUCUACUAGAUGGCACAUCCUGUUACUACAACCCGUAGCUACACAUGUUACAUUUUUUUACAGCUACAUAUGUAACGACCCUUUGUUAUAUAUGUUAAUGACCAGCUUGUUGGAAUA